AAAAAUCUCAAGAAGCCCCAACUCUCUCCCCUUUAGGGUUAGUAGUCCCAUAUGCCUCUGGGACUGAUAGGAUUGGGAUUGGUUGUAGCAUACAAUAAGUAAUGAUACUAUUCCGUACUUUAAUACCUUUACGGGGUGAGAAGGGUAGAUAUGGAUAUGAUGACCGGUGCACUAAUAUCACGUGUGACCCCUCUUCUGUGGAGUGAUUGCUGGAUACUGCAUUGAUAUGAUCCAUAUUAAUUAUAAACAUAGGACUCCUCUCCUUUUAUGUUCUUUCUUAUAUGUUUUCUCUAUAAGUUGUUUAAAUCUUUCCACAAAAUUCUGC
This 325-nucleotide long non-coding RNA is filed under the name Nicotiana benthamiana. Its description in RNAcentral is "long non-coding RNA (NBEN_LNC008658)". Lineage: Eukaryota; Viridiplantae; Streptophyta; Magnoliopsida; Solanales; Solanaceae. The record is from RNAcentral.